RNAcentral lists this transfer RNA (76 nucleotides) under Clostridiales bacterium. Its description in RNAcentral is "tRNA-Thr". It matches the Rfam family "tRNA". From Rfam's summary of the family: Transfer RNA (tRNA) molecules are approximately 80 nucleotides in length. Their secondary structure includes four short double-helical elements and three loops (D, anti-codon, and T loops). Further hydrogen bonds mediate the characteristic L-shaped molecular structure. tRNAs have two regions of fundamental functional importance: the anti-codon, which is responsible for specific mRNA codon recognition, and the 3' end, to which the tRNAs corresponding amino acid is attached (by aminoacyl-tRNA synthetases). tRNAs cope with the degeneracy of the genetic code in two manners: having more than one tRNA (with a specific anti-codon) for a particular amino acid; and 'wobble' base-pairing, i.e. permitting non-standard base-pairing at the 3rd anti-codon position. Lineage: Bacteria; Bacillati; Bacillota; Clostridia; Eubacteriales. RNAcentral also lists the same sequence under 1 other name. The record is from RNAcentral.
GCCAAUAUAGCUCAGUCGGUAGAGCAACGGUUUCGUAAACCGUAGGUCGGGGGUUCGAGUCCCCCUGUUGGCUCCA